UACAAUUGAAUCUUGGGUGGGCGUGGUUUCCCUUCAAAAGGAGGUGAAGCCAUGGAAGUAAAAGAUGCUAUUACAAUCAUGUUCCUUUUCGGCAUGUUUAUUCUUGCUCUUUUAACAUACAUCAGUAUUAACAACAAGAGAAAGUAAAAACCCACCCCAAGGUUGACCGCCGAAGGUGGGCUUUUGUCUUUUGAGAACUCAGAAGGGAAUCCCAUCCAAGCCAAUUGUACAGGCCAAGUGUUCACAGCACUUGGU
RNAcentral lists this small RNA (255 nucleotides) under Paenibacillus prosopidis. Its description in RNAcentral is "BsrG". Lineage: Bacteria; Bacillati; Bacillota; Bacilli; Caryophanales; Paenibacillaceae. The record is from RNAcentral.